UAAGAAGUUUGCAGCCUACCAAAAGUCAUCAAAACUUUGCCAUAAAAUUUUCUUAACUUGACAACUCAAAAUAUUUAAAUAAACUAGAAUUACACAGUACAUUAUUUUUCAUAUAUUGCUGGCCAACUUACCUAGUAUGUUUUCUGUAUAUACAAAGAUUGUCUUUCCAUCCAUUAAUAAGUAUUUAAUUGCUGCCAAUUUUACACUGCAAGUAACUCUCCACGAUGUCCAGCCCACACAGCUCCUUCACAAUAGGCAUGGUG
RNAcentral lists this unclassified non-coding RNA (263 nucleotides) under Hevea brasiliensis (rubber tree). The record is from RNAcentral. Lineage: Eukaryota; Viridiplantae; Streptophyta; Magnoliopsida; Malpighiales; Euphorbiaceae.